This 763-nucleotide long non-coding RNA is filed under the name Vulpes vulpes (red fox). RNAcentral's name for it is "lncRNA (ENSVVUG00000022334.1)". Lineage: Eukaryota; Metazoa; Chordata; Mammalia; Carnivora; Canidae. The record is from RNAcentral.
CCAUAAUUCACAGGCUGCAUGGACUCCCCCGAUGCCUGACCCCGAAUCUAAUAGGGCUACAUGUUCGUUUACUUAAAACAGGAUAUAAAACAAUGUGCAGUUUCAUCUUCCUUAUUUAUCUCUCCCAGAUCCAGUGAGAAGCAAAUUUGCACAUAAUGACAGAUCGCAGGCAUCUAGCCCCAAAUGGAGUGUCUGGUUGUGAUCCAUCAUCAUGACAUUUCAGCUUUAGCAAACAUGGCUGCUCGCAGGGGGACACAAUCCAUCACUUUUCUCUAUUUCCCAGUCCAAAUGGCAGUUCCAAGGAUAUUAAUGAAGACCCAAGAGUCAAACACAAGGACCGCGUUAAAGAUAUUCAUAAAAAAAUCCAGGAAGGUGAGAGAGGACCUGGAGGUCAAUGGACGAGAGCAACCAUAAUGCAAGGGGUGAAUGUAAAUUCAUAAAAAGAAUUUAAAACAGCACAACUAAACAAAACAAGACAUAUUAUAAAAUCCAGAGAUGGGUAAGGGAAGGGGAUUGCUUGCCAAAUUUUGGCACUGAAAUGUAUGCAAUCUUUUUUAAAAUUAUUUAAUGCCUUAGGGGUCUGUCUACUUUCACUGGAGGACUUUAAGAGGGACACUGUGUCCCCAGGGAGGAACUAGGCUUCAUCUGUGGUAAGGAAGCAGAAUGAUUGAUCUCUAGGUGAGUAUCGUUCAUAAUUCUGUGAUGCAAGCAUUUGCAGAGAGGCUGUGUGGAGCGUGCAUGAGAAUGUAAUUAAACAAAAGAG